UGGGGAAUAUUGCACAAUGGGCGCAAGCCUGAUGCAGCCGUGCCGCGUGUAUGAAGAAGGCCUUCGGGUUGUAAAGUACUUUCAGUCGGGAGGAAGGUGUCAAGGUUAAUAACCUUGGCAAUUGACGUUACCGACAGAAGAAGCACCGGCUAACUCCGUGCCAGCAGCCGCGGUAAUACGGAGGGUGCAAGCGUUAAUCGGAAUUACUGGGCGUAAAGCGCACGCAGGCGGUUGAUUGAGUCAGAUGUGAAAUCCCCGGGCUUAACCCGGGAAUUGCAUCUGAUACUGGUCAGCUAGAGUCUUGUAGAGGGGGGUAGAAUUCCAUGUGUAGCGGUGAAAUGCGUAGAGAUGUGGAGGAAUACCGGUGGCGAAGGCGGCCCCCUGGACAAAGACUGACGCUCAGGUGCGAAAGCGUGGGGAGCAAACAGG
This 429-nucleotide ribosomal RNA is filed under the name Chloroflexota bacterium. RNAcentral's name for it is "Chloroflexi bacterium partial 16S ribosomal RNA". It matches the Rfam family "Bacterial small subunit ribosomal RNA", at positions 355 to 776 of the family's 1533-position model. The record is from RNAcentral. Lineage: Bacteria; Bacillati; Chloroflexota.